RNAcentral lists this ribosomal RNA (674 nucleotides) under uncultured equine intestinal eubacterium sp. PW08. Its description in RNAcentral is "bacterial SSU rRNA". It matches the Rfam family "Bacterial small subunit ribosomal RNA", at positions 797 to 1482 of the family's 1533-position model. The record is from RNAcentral.
ACGCAGUAAACGAUGAUAACUAACCGUCGGCGAUAGACAGUCGGUGGCCAAGCGAAAGCGAUAAGUUAUCCACCUGGGGAGUACGUUCGCAAGAAUGAAACUCAAAGGAAUUGACGGGGGCCCGCACAAGCGGAGGAACAUGUGGUUUAAUUCGAUGAUACGCGAGGAACCUUACCCGGGCUCGAACGGCAAGUGAAGAGAUCCAGAGAUGGUGACGCCCUUCGGGGCACUUGUCGAGGUGCUGCAUGGUUGUCGUCAGCUCGUGUCGUGGGAUGUUGGCUUAAGUGCCAUAACGAGCGCAACCCUUGUCACUAGUUACCAUCAGGCAAAGCUGGGGACUCUAGUGAGACUGCCACCGCAAGGUGUGAGGAAGGCGGGGAUGACGUCAAAUCAGCACGGCCCUUACGUCCGGGGCGACACACGUGUUACAAUGGUAGCUACAGAGGGAAGCCACCCAGCGAUGGGGCGCGGAUCUCGAAAAGCUAUCUCAGUUCGGGCUGGAGUCUGCAACCCGACUCCACGAAGCUGGAUUCGCUAGUAAUCGCGCAUCAGCCAUGGCGCGGUGAAUACGUUCCCGGGCCUUGUACACACCGCCCGUCAAGCCAUGAAAGCCGGGGGUGCCUGAAGUUCGUGACCGCAAGGAGCGACCUAGGGCAAAACUGGUAAUUGGGGCU